This 477-nucleotide ribosomal RNA is filed under the name uncultured organism. Its description in RNAcentral is "partial 16S ribosomal RNA". It matches the Rfam family "Bacterial small subunit ribosomal RNA", at positions 331 to 799 of the family's 1533-position model. The record is from RNAcentral.
GUACACUCCUACGGGAGGCAGCAGUGGGGAAUUUUGGACAAUGGGCGAAAGCCUGAUCCAGCAAUGCCGCGUGAGUGAAGAAGGCCUUCGGGUUGUAAAGCUCUUUUGUCAGGGAAGAAACGGUGAAAGCUAAUAUCUUUUGCUAAUGACGGUACCUGAAGAAUAAGCACCGGCUAACUACGUGCCAGCAGCCGCGGUAAUACGUAGGGUGCAAGCGUUAAUCGGAAUUACUGGGCGUAAAGCGUGCGCAGGCGGUUUUGUAAGUCUGAUGUGAAAUCCCCGGGCUCAACCUGGGAAUUGCAUGGGAGACUGCAAGGCUAGAAUCUGGCAGAGGGGGGUAGAAUUCCACGUGUAGCAGUGAAAUGCGUAGAUAUGUGGAGGAACACCGAUGGCGAAGGCAGCCCCCUGGGUCAAGAUUGACGCUCAUGCACGAAAGCGUGGGGAGCAAACAGGAUUAGAUACCCCAGUAGUCCCAUG